Molecule: ribosomal RNA, 869 nt
Filed under: uncultured archaeon
Lineage: Archaea
Description: SSU rRNA
Rfam family: Archaeal small subunit ribosomal RNA
Source: RNAcentral
AACCAGCACCUCAGGUGUCCCGGAUGAUUAUUGGACCUAAACAUCCGUAGCCGCCUCUGCAAGAUUUCGAUUAAAUCUGCACGCUUAACAGUACGGGCUGCCGUUAAUACUGCAGAUCUAGCUAACGGGAGAGGUAGACGUUACUCGGUACGAAGGGGUAAGAUCCUUUGAUCUAUUGAUGACCACCUGAGGAGAAGGCGGCCUACCAAACUUCGUACGACGGGGACGCAUGAAAGCUGGGGGAGCAAACCGGAUUAGAUCACCGGAUAGUUCCAGCUGUAAACUAUGCAAACUCAGUGAUGCAUUGGCUUGUGCACAAUGCAGUGACGCAGGGAAGCCGCUAACUUUCCCGCCUGGGAAGUACGUACGCAAGUAUGCAAAUUUAAAGGAAUUGGCGGGGGAGCUCCACAAGGGGUGAAGCUUUCGGUUCAAUUGGAAUCAACGCCAGAAAUUUUACCCGGAGAGACAGCAGAAUGAAGGUCAAGCUGAAGACUAUCCCAGACAAGUUGAGAGCAUGGUGCAUGGCCGUAUCCAGCUCGUGCCGUGAGAUGUCCUGGUAAGUCAGGUACACGAUCGAGAUCUCUGCCUCUAGUUGGCAUCACUGCUGUCAGGAGUAGUGGGGCGAAUUAGCGGGUCGCCUCUAAUUAAUCGGAGGAAGGAAGGGAAUCACGGCAGGUCAGUAUGCUCCGAAACUAUGGGUCCGCACGUCGGGUUGCAAUGGUAACGACAAUGGGUUUCGAAUUGAGAAAGGAAGAGGUAAUCCUCAAACGCUAUCACAGUUAGGACUGAGGGAUGCAACUUGUCCUCACGAAUAUGGAAUCCAUAGUAACUGCGUGUCACUAUCGCGCGGAGAAUUAGUCCCUUCUCCU